UUGGCAAAAACAUUGUGUGGAUCCACAAAAUUUGCUUUAUUAAUCAAACUGGAGGAAUCCAACAACAGGAACACUUGAAAUUCACAUCAGAUUAUACAAUCAAACCAACUAUUCUUCAAAAUUACUCUCAAUACUACAAUCUGACUACAAACUAUCUACUAGCAAAUAUCCACAGAAGGAAAUAGUUAAGGAAAAAAGCAUGAGACUCACGGAGCUUUUUGGGGGUUCGUGGG
Molecule: unclassified non-coding RNA, 233 nt
Filed under: Hevea brasiliensis (rubber tree)
Lineage: Eukaryota; Viridiplantae; Streptophyta; Magnoliopsida; Malpighiales; Euphorbiaceae
Source: RNAcentral